AUGCUGGAGGUAUCAGAAGUGCGAAUGCUGACAUAAGUAACGAUAAAGCGGGUGAAAAGCCCGCUCGCCGGAAGACCAAGGGUUCCUGUCCAACGUUAAUCGGGGCAGGGUGAGUCGACCCCUAAGGCGAGGCCGAAAGGCGUAGUCGAUGGGAAACAGGUUAAUAUUCCUGUACUUGGUGUUACUGCGAAGGGGGGACGGAGAAGGCUAUGUUGGCCGGGCGACGGUUGUCCCGGUUUAAGCGUGUAGGCUGAUUUUCCAGGCAAAUCCGGAAAAUCAAGGCUGAGGCGUGAUGACGAGGCACUACGGUGCUGAAGCAACAAAUGCCCUGCUUCCAGGAAAAGCCUCUAAGCAUCAGGUAACAUCAAAUCGUACCCCAAACCGACACAGGUGGUCAGGUAGAGAAUACCAAGGCGCUUGAGAGAACUCGGGUGAAGGAACUAGGCAAAAUGGUGCCGUAACUUCGGGAGAAGGCACGCUGAUAUGUAGGUGAAGCGACUUGCUCGUGGAGCUGAAAUCAGUCGAAGAUACCAGCUGGCUGCAACUGUUUAUUAAAAACACAGCACUGUGCAAACACGAAAGUGGACGUAUACGGUGUGACGCCUGCCCGGUGCCGGAAGGUUAAUUGAUGGGGUUAGCGGUAACGCGAAGCUCUUGAUCGAAGCCCCGGUAAACGGCGGCCGUAACUAUAACGGUCCUAAGGUAGCGAAAUUCCUUGUCGGGUAAGUUCCGACCUGCACGAAUGGCGUAAUGAUGGCCAGGCUGUCUCCACCCGAGACUCAGUGAAAUUGAACUCGCUGUGAAGAUGCAGUGUACCCGCGGCAAGACGGAAAGACCCCGUGAACCUUUACUAUAGCUUGACACUGAACAUUGAGCCUUGAUGUGUAGGAUAGGUGGGAGGCUUUGAAGUGUGGACGCCAGUCUGCAUGGAGCCGACCUUGAAAUACCACCCUUUAAUGUUUGAUGUUCUAACGUUGGCCCGUUAUCCGGGUUGCGGACAGUGUCUGGUGGGUAGUUUGACUGGGGCGGUCUCCUCCUAAAGAGUAACGGAGGAGCACGAAGGUUGGCUAAUCCUGGUCGGACAUCAGGAGGUUAGUGCAAUGGCAUAAGCCAGCUUGACUGCGAGCGUGACGGCGCGAGCAGGUGCGAAAGCAGGUCAUAGUGAUCCGGUGGUUCUGAAUGGAAGGGCCAUCGCUCAACGGAUAAAAGGUACUCCGGGGAUAACAGGCUGAUACCGCCCAAGAGUUCAUAUCGACGGCGGUGUUUGGCACCUCGAUGUCGGCUCAUCACAUCCUGGGGCUGAAGUAGGUCCCAAGGGUAUGGCUGUUCGCCAUUUAAAGUGGUACGCGAGCUGGGUUUAGAACGUCGUGAGACAGUUCGGUCCCUAUCUGCCGUGGGCGCUGGAGAACUGAGGGGGGCUGCUCCUAGUACGAGAGGACCGGAGUGGACGCAUCACUGGUGUUCGGGUUGUCAUGCCAAUGGCACUGCCCGGUAGCUAAAUGCGGAAGAGAUAAGUGCUGAAAGCAUCUAAGCACGAAACUUGCCCCGAGAUGAGUUCUCCCUGACUCCUUGAGAGUCCUGAAGGAACGUUGAAGACGACGACGUUGAUAGGCCGGGUGUGUAAGCGCAGCGAUGCGUUGAGCUAACCGGUACUAAUGAACCGUGAGGCUUAACCUU
This 1677-nucleotide ribosomal RNA is filed under the name Escherichia coli. RNAcentral describes it as "bacterial LSU rRNA". It matches the Rfam family "Bacterial large subunit ribosomal RNA", at positions 1270 to 2925 of the family's 2925-position model. The record is from RNAcentral. RNAcentral also lists the same sequence under 1 other name. Lineage: Bacteria; Pseudomonadati; Pseudomonadota; Gammaproteobacteria; Enterobacterales; Enterobacteriaceae.